RNAcentral lists this ribosomal RNA (502 nucleotides) under uncultured bacterium. Its description in RNAcentral is "partial 16S ribosomal RNA". It matches the Rfam family "Bacterial small subunit ribosomal RNA", at positions 30 to 523 of the family's 1533-position model. The record is from RNAcentral.
AUUGAACGCUGGCGGCAUGCUUUACACAUGCAAGUCGAACGGCAGCAUAGGUGCUUGCACCUGAUGGCGAGUGGCGAACGGGUGAGUAAUAUAUCGGAACAUGUCCGGAAGUGGGGGAUAACGUAGCGAAAGUUACGCUAAUACCGCAUAUGCCCUGAGGGGGAAAGGAGGGGAUCGCAAGACCUUUCGCUUUCGGAGUGGCCGAUAUCGGAUUAGCUAGUAGGUGAGGGAAAGGCUCACCUAGGCGUCUAUCCGUAGCUGGUCUGAGAGGACGACCAGCCACACUGGGACUGAGACACGGCCCAGACGCCUACGGGAGGGAGCAGUGGGGGAUUUUGGACAAUGGGCGCAAGCCUGGUCCAGCCAUGCCGCGUGAGUGAAGAAGGCCUUCGGGUUGUAAAGCUCUUUCAGCAGGAAAGAAAUCAUGCUUACUAAUACUAAGUGUGGAUGACGGUACCAGCAGAAGAAGCACCGGCUAACUACGUGCCAGCCGCCGCCGUAA